UUAGAUACUGCGGCUCUCUGAGCUAAGAUCAUGCGUAGUAUCUGUUAUUUGCAGUGUAAUUUCUGCAACGGUCUCUAAACCGAGACCAAUGAAAUUACCUGUAUUUUUUCCCUACGGACGGGUACUGUGAGCUUGCUCAACCCUGUCCACGGGUCGGCCUCGUAUUGCAUUACCUCAAGGAUUGGCCCAUUAUAG
Molecule: small nuclear RNA, 195 nt
Filed under: Trichobilharzia regenti
Lineage: Eukaryota; Metazoa; Platyhelminthes; Trematoda; Strigeidida; Schistosomatidae
Description: U2 spliceosomal RNA
Rfam family: U2 spliceosomal RNA
About the family: U2 is a small nuclear RNA (snRNA) component of the spliceosome (involved in pre-mRNA splicing). Complementary binding between U2 snRNA (in an area lying towards the 5' end but 3' to hairpin I) and the branchpoint sequence (BPS) of the intron results the bulging out of an unpaired adenosine, on the BPS, which initiates a nucleophilic attack at the intronic 5' splice site, thus starting the first of two transesterification reactions that mediate splicing.
Source: Rfam by way of RNAcentral